UACGUAGGGAGCAAGCGUUGUCCGGAAUCACUGGGCGUAAAGCGCGCGUAGGUGGCCACAUAAGUCCGUUGUGAAAGUCAAAGGCUCGACCUUUGAAAGCCGAUGGAUACUGUGUGGCUAGAGUACGGAAGAGGCGAGUGGAAUUCCUGGUGUAGCGGUGGAAUGCGCAGAUAUCAGGAGGAACACCAAUAGCGAAGGCAGCUCGCUGGGACGUUACUGACACUGAGGCGCGAAAGCGUGGGGAGCAAAAGGG
RNAcentral lists this ribosomal RNA (253 nucleotides) under uncultured bacterium. RNAcentral describes it as "partial 16S ribosomal RNA". It matches the Rfam family "Bacterial small subunit ribosomal RNA", at positions 524 to 776 of the family's 1533-position model. The record is from RNAcentral.